RNAcentral lists this long non-coding RNA (1836 nucleotides) under Sus scrofa (pig). RNAcentral's name for it is "lncRNA (ENSSSCG00015004450.1)". The record is from RNAcentral. Lineage: Eukaryota; Metazoa; Chordata; Mammalia; Artiodactyla; Suidae.
AAUUAAAAAAUUGAAAAAUUGUACUAUUUUGAUUUCAAAUAUGUUUUGGUGAACAGAGUAUUUGAAAAGAUUUGAAUUUUGAAUACAAUUUUUAAACCUUAUUUUUUUUUAAUUUUUGAUUUUGACUUUUUUUGUCUUUAGAGGGCUGCAGCCAAGGCAUAUGGAGGUUCCCAGACUAGGGGUAGAAGCGGAGCUGUAGCUGUUGCCUACACUACAGCCAUAGCAACGCCAGAUAUGAGCCACAUCUGCUAACUACACCACAGCUUACACGCCGCUUGGAUCUAGCGUUGCUGUGACUGUGGUGUAGGCUGAUUCGACCCCCAGCCUGAGAGCUUCCAUAUGCUGCAAGUGCAGCCCUAAAAAGGAAAAAAAAAAAAAAGAAUUUGAAAAAAAUUUUUAUUGCUAUUAUUUUUUAUUGAAGUAUAACUAGCCCACAACACUGUUAGUUCCAGAUGCACAGCACAGUGAUUUGACAUCUCUGUACUUUACAGAGUGAACAGCUCUGAUUCUGGUUCAUAUCUGUCACCAUGCAAAGUUAUUACGGUAUCAUCGACUGUAUUUCCUAUGCUUUUCAUUUCAUGCCCAUGACAAUUUUGUAAUUGGAAGUUGGUACCUCUUCAUCCCUCUCACCUGUUUCACUGAUCCUCACACACUCUGCCUCUCAACCACCAGUGCUCUGUGUCUGAGUCAGUUUCUGUUUUAUUUUUGUUCAUUCGGUUUUUAGUUUCCAGAGCAUUUGUUUUAUCUGAUUUAUUUCACUAAGCAUAACAUAGAGCAUUUGUUUUAUCUGAUUUAUUUCACUAAGCAUAAUGCCAUCUAGUCUAGAUUCAUCCAAGUUGUUACAACGGCAGAAUUUCAUUCUUUUUUUUGUUACUGUUGAGUGGUAUUCCAUUGUCCUAUACCACAUCUUCUUUAUUGAUUCACCUAUUGAUGGAAACUUAGGUUACUUCUAUGUCCUGAUAUAAAUAAUGCUGCAUAUAUCUUUUCAAAUCAGUGUUUUUGUUUUACAUGGAAAAAUACCCAGAGGUAGAAUUGAUGGAUCAUAUGGUAUUUCUAUUUUAAUUUUUUAGGAAUUCCCUGUACCAUUUUCUAUAGAGGCUGCACAGUUUACCCCCUACCAACAGCACACAGUGGUUCCCUCUUAUCCACAUCUGGGUCAACACUUACUUGUUGCCCCCCCCCUUUUUUUUGUCUUUUUGCUAUUUCUUGGGCUGCUCCCUUGGCAUAUGGAGGUUCCCAGGCUAGGGGUCAAAUCGGAGCUGUAGCCUCCGGCCUACGCUAGAGCCACAGCAACGUGGGAUCCGAGCCGCAUCUGCAACCUACGCCACAGCUCACGGCAACGCCAGAUCAUUAACCCACUGCGCAAGGGCAGGUUAAGGGCAGGGCAGCCUCAUGGUUCCUAGUCGGAUUCGUUAACCACUGCGCCACGGCGGGAACUCCUUGUUGCCCUUUUUUGGGGCAAGAAAUGAAUUUAUUAAGAUAGCAUGAUUGUGAGAGAUGCAAGUGGCAGGCAAGGAGGCGCUGCCUCAAGGACUAGCUUUGUUGUUUUUUUGAUAAUAGACGUCUGAAAGGUGUGAGGUGCUUUGUUGUGGCUUUGAUUUGCAUUUCCCUGAGGGUUAGAGAUGUUGAGCAUCUUUUCAUGUAUGUAUUGGGCAUCUGUGUGCCUUCUUUGGAAAAAUAUCUAUUCAAGUCAAAUUUUUAAUCAGAUUUUUUUUCUUUAUGGUCUAUGGGUUCUCUGUAUAUAUGCACAAACACACAUACUCUAUAUAUUUUGGUCACACCCAUGGCAUAUGGAAGUUCCUAGGCCAGGGAUCAAACCCUCAUCACAGCAGAGAC